UGCGUAGACGGUCUGGUAAGUCGGAUGUGAAAUCCCCGGGCUCAACCUGGGAAUGGCAUUCGAGACUGUCAAGCUAGGGUGCGGAAGAGGGAAGCGGAAUUUCCGGUGUAGCGGUGAAAUGCGUAGAUAUCGGGAGGAACAUCAGUGGCGAAAGCGGCUUCCUGGUCCAGCACCGACGUUCAGGCACGAAAGCGUGGGGAGCAAACA
Molecule: ribosomal RNA, 207 nt
Filed under: uncultured bacterium
Lineage: Bacteria
Description: partial 16S ribosomal RNA
Rfam family: Bacterial small subunit ribosomal RNA
Source: RNAcentral